GACGAACGCUGGCGGCGUGCUUAACACAUGCAAGUCGAACGGAAAGGCCCUGCUUUUGUGGGGUGCUCGAGUGGCGAACGGGUGAGUAACACGUGAGUAACCUGCCCUUGUCUUUGGGAUAACUUCAGGAAACUGGGGCUAAUACCGGAUAGGAGCUCCUGCUGCAUGGUGGGGGUUGGAACGUUUCGGCGGUUGGGGAUGGACUCGCGGCUUAUCAGCUUGUUGGUGGGGUAGUUGCUUACCAAGGUUUUGACGGGUAGCCGGCCUGAGAGGGUGGCCGGCCACAUUGGGACUGAGAUACGGCCCAGAGUCCUACGGGAGGCAGCAGGGGGGAAUAUUACACAAUGGGCGGAAGCCUGAGGCAGCGACGCCGCGUGCGGGAUGACGUCCUUCGGGUUGUAAACCGCUUUCGCCUGUGACGAAGCGUGAGUGACGGUAAUGGGUAAAGAAGCACCGGCUAACUACGUG
RNAcentral lists this ribosomal RNA (468 nucleotides) under uncultured bacterium. RNAcentral describes it as "partial 16S ribosomal RNA". It matches the Rfam family "Bacterial small subunit ribosomal RNA", at positions 28 to 507 of the family's 1533-position model. The record is from RNAcentral.